Molecule: ribosomal RNA, 242 nt
Filed under: uncultured bacterium
Lineage: Bacteria
Description: partial 16S ribosomal RNA
Rfam family: Bacterial small subunit ribosomal RNA
Source: RNAcentral
CGUGGGUAACCUGCCUUAUAGUGGGGGAGUAGCCUUUCGAAAGGAAGAUUAAUACGCAUAAGAUUGUAGUAUCGCAUGAUAUAGCAAUUAAAGGAGCAAUUCGCUAUAAGAUGGACCCGCGUCGCAUUAGCUAGUUGGUGAGGUAAUGGCUCACCAAGGCGACGAUGCGUAGCCGACCUGAGAGGGUGAUCGGCCACAUUGGGACUGAGACACGGCCCAGACUCCUACGGGAGGGCAGCAUG